AUGCCCCCCCGCAAGCGGCCCGCCGCCGUCCUCGACGCCGGUCACGCCACCACGACGACGAGUAGACAAUCGUCGGCGUCCUGCAAGAGGAGCCGCACCAGAAUCCGAAGCACCGAGGAGUACGAGGAGGAGACCCGCCUCGGCGAGGGCGGCUUCGGCUGCGUCCUCCUGGCGCGCCACCGCGACACCCGCAAGAUCGUCGCCAUCAAGUACCUCUACUGGCCGGACGGGUCCCAGCAGCCCCCCGACGCCGCCGAGCUUCUGCGGGAGGCCCGAUUCCUCGAGGCCUGCGACGGGAACCCCUACGUCGUCGGCUUCGAGGGCCUGGUGCGCGACCCCGACAACGGCGCCUUCGGCCUCGUCAUGGAGUACGUCGCCGCGCCGAGCCUCCACAAGUUCCUGCGGAACAGGCGCAGCGGCCAGCCGCUCCCGGAGUCCACCGUGCGCGCCAUCAUGUGGAAGCUCCUCACCGGUGCCAAGACGAUGCACGGCCGCCACGUCGUCCACCGCGACAUCAAGCCCGGCAACAUCCUCGUCGGCCAAGACGGGGAGCUCGUCAAAAUCUGCGACUUUGGGCUGGCGAUCUCCAUGUCCGAGCUGCCGCCGUACAACCAGGCCGGCACGCCGUUCUACGUGGCGCCCGAGGUGCUCCUGGGGAAGCGGGACUACGACGCGCUCGUGGACACGUGGUCUAUCGGCUGCGUCAUGGCCGAGAUGCUCACCGGUAAGACGCUGUUCCUCGGCGAUGAUGACGACGACGCCGCAGACAAUGAGAUCGUCCAGCUCUGGAGCAUCUUCCGCUUGCUCGGGACGCCGGACGAGAGGACGUGGCCGGAGUUCACGUCGCUGCCGCUCACCGCAAAGGCGCUGAAACUGCUACCGCGGGGGCACAAGCACGACAAGCUGCGGGAACUGUUCCCUCAAGAGAAGCUGUCCGAGCAUGGGUUCCAGGUGUUGCAAGGCCUUCUCACGUGCAACCCCAACCAGCGACUGACGGCGGCCACGGCGCUCAAGCACCGAUGGUUUGCUGCUCCUCGUACAGCCGCCGCCGCUCCAAAGGUCGAAAAGAAGGCACCAAGGACCAAGUUCAUCCCGCCGGCCAUGCCGCAGAAGAAUCUACUCAAAAUUCCACUCGCCGUGUGGAACGCAGCACAACAAGUGUAG
Molecule: ribosomal RNA, 1164 nt
Filed under: Triticum aestivum (bread wheat)
Lineage: Eukaryota; Viridiplantae; Streptophyta; Magnoliopsida; Poales; Poaceae
Description: partial small subunit ribosomal RNA
Source: RNAcentral